RNAcentral lists this long non-coding RNA (286 nucleotides) under Elaeis guineensis (African oil palm). Its description in RNAcentral is "long non-coding RNA (EGUI_LNC019766)". The record is from RNAcentral. Lineage: Eukaryota; Viridiplantae; Streptophyta; Magnoliopsida; Arecales; Arecaceae.
GACCAUGUCAACACUACUACCACAUCAUCAGCCAUUUGACCCACCGAUUUACACAUUUUUAGACUAAUUUUUUGAGUUCUAAUAUUGAUUCUUAAAGUUUUUGAACGUGCUAAAUCCAUUUUUGGGGUUAUUUUUGCAAAAUUCAGACACCAAGAUAUUUUUAUUUUAAUUUCAAGAUAUUUAAAAAGUUUGAAAUUGAGAAAUUUGAUGGCCAGGAUGGAGGAUAUUUUGAUUCAGAAUGGAUUUAAUUCAGCUCUUUUGAAAAAUGCAAAAAUAUCUUCGAUGC